UCGGGAAUUUUGGGCAAUGGGCGAAAGCCUGACCCAGCAACGCCGCGUGAGGGAUGAAGUAUUUCGGUAUGUAAACCUCGAAAGAAUGGGAAGAAUAAAUGACGGUACCAUUUAUAAGCUCCGGCUAACUACGUGCCAGCAGCCGCGGUAAUACGUAGGGAGCGAGCGUUGUUCGGAUUUACUGGGCGUAAAGGGCGCGUAGGCGGCGCGGUAAGUCACUUGUGGAAUCUCUGAGCUUAACUCAGAACGGCCAAGUGAUACUGCUGUGCUAGAGUGCGGAAGAGGCAACCGGAAUUCUUGGUGUAGCGGUGAAAUGCGUAGAUAUCAAGAGGAACACCUGAGGCGAAGGCGGGUUGCUGGGCCGACACUGACGCUGAUGCGCGAAAGCCAGGGGAGCAAAC
This 401-nucleotide ribosomal RNA is filed under the name uncultured bacterium. RNAcentral describes it as "bacterial SSU rRNA". It matches the Rfam family "Bacterial small subunit ribosomal RNA", at positions 355 to 773 of the family's 1533-position model. The record is from RNAcentral.